This is a long non-coding RNA of Tupaia belangeri chinensis (Chinese tree shrew), 832 nucleotides long. RefSeq lists it as uncharacterized. The transcript is spliced from 4 exons. Lineage: Eukaryota; Metazoa; Chordata; Mammalia; Scandentia; Tupaiidae. The record is from RefSeq and is a predicted model, not a curated record.
GCUGCGCAUGCGCGGUGGUAGUGUUGCGUUCGCGCCGGGAUCUUGGGUGCUGGCGGCCUUCCGAAAGUUACCUGGUUCGUUCUUCCGCAUCUUUCCUUCUGGGCAGGCUUGGCCGUCCCGACGGAAACUUGUCGGCAAUGUUCUAAGAGCUUGGGACACAGCAGUGAAUAAAACAGACAAAAACCCCUGGUCUCAUGAGUUCUCCUGGGUGAAACAGCCAACCGGAUAGAUGCCGUAUGUGUGCUAAAGGGAGACAGUAAGAGGACUAUGAAGUGUCAUGGGGUGCACAAUAAAGAAGAGAAAAAAGAAAAAGAAAAGAAAAAAAAGCCGACCACUGGGAACUGCUAUCACAGAGUGAGGCCUCGCAGCAAACCUUCACAGCGGCUCCUCCGUUAGCACGCAGUGAAAGGCCAUGGCCGCAGGGCGACAGCCAGUUCUCUGCCUGCAAAGGUCUCCAUAUUUAUUACUGAACCAACCUACCAACGCAGAACUUAGAGACAAGGUGAAGCAUCAUUUUUUUCCAGUAAACACAAGUGUCCAGGCACUGGUGACCAUUUUCAGUUUGAUGAGGCAAGACCAUAGUGACCUUGGUACAGCAUAAAUAUGUGGCCCACAUCCUGUCCAGUUCCUCCUAGACCCAGCGUGGUUCUUCUCCAGUGUCUCCUCUUGGAGCUGUAUCUGAUUUUAUUACCAGUUUCAUUCUAAUCCACUGGGGAAUGGGACGAUUUUGCUUCUGUUUUUUGGCCAAAAACCACUUGAUUCUGAAAGUCUUGUGAGAACACAUGGGGAAAAGCCAAGUGGACCGCACACACCACGAUGGCAGAGAAAGGAA